Acanthosepion pharaonis is the source of this 106-nucleotide non-coding RNA. The record is from the annotation of a GenBank genome assembly. Lineage: Eukaryota; Metazoa; Mollusca; Cephalopoda; Sepiida; Sepiidae.
UUACGGCCAUAUCACUUUGAAACAGCGGUUCUUGUACGAUCACCGAAGUUAAGCAACGUCAAGCCUCAGUACCCAGAUGGGUGACCACUUUGGAAUACCAGUAUUG